This is a long non-coding RNA of Impatiens glandulifera, 782 nucleotides long. RefSeq lists it as uncharacterized. The record is from RefSeq and is a predicted model, not a curated record. The transcript is spliced from 4 exons. NCBI's taxonomy places the organism in Eukaryota, Viridiplantae, Streptophyta, Magnoliopsida, Ericales, Balsaminaceae.
UGUCAUUUUUUGUGUGUGUUUCUGCAGGCUAAGGUUGAUCCUUCGAAACCUGCAUCUCUAACUUGGCAUCGAAAGUUGAAUGCAUCAGACUUUGUCCCUGCACAAUUCAAUCUAACUGUGGCGGAAAUAAUUCAUAUGCUAGAUGCUCUAAAACUAUAAAACCAGAUCAGGGUAAUAACAGGCGAGUCGAACCUUUUCUCCUCAUUCUUCUAUAGGAUAUUCAUCACAUAACUUCUGCACAUCACUCUCUUUGAUACAAGCUCCCAUUGGUUAUCGAUUAUGGCAUCAUAUUCAGGAAGAAGCAGCUAAAGGAAAGGCGACAAUAAUUAAUCCUCUAAUGAAGCGUUACAUCAUAUCAUGUUAUGGUGUUCCACUCGGCGGCAUUGGGGUGACCAUGUCAAAAUUCGCGUCAAUCUUUCUUAUUCUCAGAUGCAACAAAUGUUCAAACAUUUGGUAAUAUGUUCAUUACUUGAGAACUGUCUUUAAUUAUUCCUCUUGCGGAUUGUUAUCCCUUUUGCCUUUCUUGGAGAUAACAUGUGUAUUUAAAACAUCUCACUGCAAUAUUUAUUUUUGAGUUUACCUAACAACAUUUACCAUGACUAUGUUACAAAUAUGUACUAUUGGCUAAACACAAUCACGUAUAGCCUUGAUACUUACAGGGGCUUUGGGUUGUUGUUGGUGUCAUAUCCCGCAUCCGGAUCGUCAAGGAAGCUAUUUGUCAAUUUAUGACCCGUCUGUCCUACCCUUUCAGGUUUUUUUUAUUUAUUUUAAGUUUAAAAAUA